This is an unclassified non-coding RNA of Pongo abelii (Sumatran orangutan), 148 nucleotides long. It matches the Rfam family "Metazoan signal recognition particle RNA". Rfam says of the family: The signal recognition particle (SRP) is a universally conserved ribonucleoprotein. The record is from Ensembl. Lineage: Eukaryota; Metazoa; Chordata; Mammalia; Primates; Hominidae.
GCCGGGCAUAGUGGCGGGUGCCUGUAAUCUCAGCUACUUAGGAGGCUGAGGCAGGAGAAUCACUUGAACCCAGGAGGCAGAGGUUACAGUGAGCCGAGAUUACGCCACUGCACUCCAGCCUGGGUGACAGAGGGAGACUCUGUCUCAA